AGAGUUUGAUCAUGGCUCAGAACGAACGCUGGCGGCGUGGAUAAGACAUGCAAGUCGGACGGGACUUUUCGCUGUAGCAAUACAGUGGAAAGUUCAGUGGCGAACGGGUGCGUAACACGUGGGCAAUUUGCCUUAAAGUGUGGGAUAGCUCGGCGAAAGCCGGAUUAAUACCGCAUGUGGCUACUGGAGACAUCUUCGGGACGCUAAAGGUGGCGCAAGCUACCGCUUUUUGAGAAGCCCGCGGCCUAUCAGCUUGUUGGUGAGGUAACGGCUCACCAAGGCGUUGACGGGUAGCUGGUCUGAGAGGACGACCAGCCACACUGGGACUGAGACACGGCCCAGACACCUACGGGUGGCAGCAGUCGAGAAUUUUUGACAAUGGGGGAAACCCUGAUCGAGCGACGCCGCGUGGAGGAUGAAGGUCUUCGGGUUGUAAACUCCUGUCAUUUGGGAACAAGGCGUAUUUAUUAACUGUAAGUACGUUGAUAGUACCAGAAGAGGAAGAGACGGCUAACUCUGUGCCAGCAGCCGCGGUAAUACAGAGGUCUCAAGCGUUGUUCGGAUUCAUUGGGCGUAAAGGGUGUGUAGGUGGCGCGCUAAGUCGGGUGUGAAAUUUCGGAGCUUAACUCCGAAACUGCAUUCGAUACUGGCGUGCUUGAGGACUGGAGAGGAGACUGGAAUUUACGGUGUAGCAGUGAAAUGCGUAGAUAUCGUAAGGAAGACCAGUGGCGAAGGCGGGUCUCUGGACAGUUCCUGACACUGAGACACGAAGGCCAGGGGAGCAAACGGGAUUAGAUACCCUAGUAGUCC
Molecule: ribosomal RNA, 810 nt
Filed under: uncultured bacterium
Lineage: Bacteria
Description: bacterial SSU rRNA
Rfam family: Bacterial small subunit ribosomal RNA
Source: RNAcentral